AUGGCUGCCGAGCUGCAGGCGAUAUUCCAAAACCAAAAGUGGCCGCCCCGGACAGGGUGUUCCCUGCCCCUACCAAAGAUGGCGGCACGAAGAGGGGGGCGGGGCGAGGCGGGGCGGGGCCUCCGGCCGGGGAGCCGGGCCCGGGGGCGGGGCGGGGGCGCGCCCGCCGCCGAACCGGAAGUGCCGCGCUGCCUCCUCCAGCUGGUUGUCAUUUCGUGCGGCAGCUCGGUCUUGAGGAGACGGGGCUCGGCAGCGGCCGGGUGGGGAGGAGGGAGGCACCGGCUGCGGCACCGAGGCAGGNNNNNNNNNNNNNNNNNNNNNAAAAAAAAAAAAGAAAAGAAAAGAAAAAGAGGCAAAACAAGGCGGCAGCAGCAGCGGAGGCUCAGCGCGGAGGACCCGUCGCAGCCAGGCUCGCCGGCUACCGAAGCGCCUCCCGACUCCCCGGAGCCGGUGUCGCGGCAGCCCUCCCCCCCCCUCUCCUGUGGCUCUCGCCUGCGGAGCCUCCCCCCUCCUUUCAGCUCCCGGCAGCAGCGUCCCCCACGGCGACCCUCCCGGUGCCCGGCCGGUUUACAUGAGGGGGAAGGAAGCCCGCCUGGAGCCGAGAAGACGCGCAGCAGCUGGGGAAGGACUGCUCCGAGGAGCCGCCGCCGCCGCCGGACCCCGCGCCCCGGACUCUUGUGAGGGAGGGGGGACACCGCGGGGGACACCCCACAGCCGGGGCCUGGCGAGCCGAGCCUGCCAGCGCCGCCCCUGCCCCGCUGGAUGCCUGGUCCCUGAGGAGGAACAACACACACACGCGUACCCACCCGGCCUUUCAGCCAGGGGCUCGCUCGUCUGCGGGGAACCCCCGUAUCUCGGUGGAAGGAGGCGAGCCCCGCACCAGAAACCACCCUCCCAGCAGCAGUGAGAGCAAGAAAACCUCCUUCCCCUUCCUCCUGCACAACUCGCUGUCCCCUCCUCCCCUCCCUUUUCCCGAACGGUGAAUGCUCAUUUCUGAGAUGUAAAUCUGCCUCUUCGGACAGCCAGGACUCAUAUGAAGGACACGCAAAUAUUGGAUCAUAAAUAAGAAGCGAGUCUGGCGAGCUCAGAAACCCAGCCCAAAACGAGCAGCAUCAAGAAUCCACCCUUCUCCUGCACAACUCACUCCCCACCCAACACACAUAGAAUACUAAUUUCCUGAGAUAAGAUCUUACCCCUUUAAACAACCACACGCGCGCGCGCACACACACACAGAGUGCAUAUUAUUACUAAAUAUAAUAGGUUAAACCCAGCAGCACGGGAAAAAGCCUCUUCUGCAACUCACUCUUCCUUUUCACCCUUCUGAAUGCUGAGAUCCUGAG
This 1340-nucleotide long non-coding RNA is filed under the name Falco tinnunculus (common kestrel). RNAcentral's name for it is "lncRNA (ENSFTIG00000011347.1)". The record is from RNAcentral. Lineage: Eukaryota; Metazoa; Chordata; Aves; Falconiformes; Falconidae.